UGUGUUUGAGUUUCCUUUAAUGAAGAUGAGAAAAUGCUGUAUUUCAUCUCCUUAAAAUAUUCUACAUUGUUGAUUCAUUGACUAUUGAUUUUUUUUUUUACUCAGACAUACAAAGCUCAGAGAAAUGUGAUACUGUGUAUUUCAGCAUGCCUUCUCUAUUGGUCUGUAUACCGCAUUUGCAAGUUUCAGAAGAUAUUCAAAGUAUGGAGGAAGUUGAGAAGAGAAUUAAGUCUAAGUAGAAUCUUCAUUUUACAAUCUAUAUAUUGUCAUGGUUAGUGGAAAAGAGCUUUUAUAAGAGAUAUUUAGUUGAGUCUCAGUUGUAUGAACAUUCCACUAUUGAUGUACCAAACUUUGCUCUAUGGCAUCACUAUCAGCUCUAUGUUUUUCAACUUUCAAUCUUCUUUUUUGUUUGUGUUGUGGUGUUUGGAUACACUCUUUUGACUCGUGUGCAGUGUAAUGAUUUAGCCUAUAUAUAGGUGACAUUUUUCAUUUUUA
Long non-coding RNA from Trifolium pratense (red clover), 495 nucleotides. RefSeq lists it as uncharacterized. The record is from RefSeq and is a predicted model, not a curated record. Lineage: Eukaryota; Viridiplantae; Streptophyta; Magnoliopsida; Fabales; Fabaceae. The transcript is spliced from 2 exons.